This 812-nucleotide ribosomal RNA is filed under the name uncultured bacterium. Its description in RNAcentral is "bacterial SSU rRNA". It matches the Rfam family "Bacterial small subunit ribosomal RNA", at positions 135 to 942 of the family's 1533-position model. The record is from RNAcentral.
AGUGGGGGACAACGUUUCGAAAGGAACGCUAAUACCGCAUACGUCCUACGGGAGAAAGUGGGGGAUCUUCGGACCUCACGCUAUCAGAUGAGCCUAGGUCGGAUUAGCUAGUUGGUGAGGUAAAGGCUCACCAAGGCGACGAUCCGUAACUGGUCUGAGAGGAUGAUCAGUCACACUGGAACUGAGACACGGUCCAGACUCCUACGGGAGGCAGCAGUGGGGAAUAUUGGACAAUGGGCGAAAGCCUGAUCCAGCCAUGCCGCGUGUGUGAAGAAGGUCUUCGGAUUGUAAAGCACUUUAAGUUGGGAGGAAGGGCAGUAAGUUAAUACCUUGCUGUUUUGACGUUACCAACAGAAUAAGCACCGGCUAACUUCGUGCCAGCAGCCGCGGUAAUACGAAGGGUGCAAGCGUUAAUCGGAAUUACUGGGCGUAAAGCGCGCGUAGGUGGUUCGUUAAGUUGGAUGUGAAAGCCCCGGGCUCAACCUGGGAACUGCAUCCAAAACUGGCGAGCUAGAGUAUGGCAGAGGGUGGUGGAAUUUCCUGUGUAGCGGUGAAAUGCGUAGAUAUAGGAAGGAACACCAGUGGCGAAGGCGACCACCUGGGCUAAUACUGACACUGGGGUGCGAAAGCGUGGGGAGCAAACAGGAUUAGAUACCCUGGUAGUCCACGCCGUAAACGAUGUCGACUAGCCGUUGGGAUCCUUGAGAUCUUAGUGGCGCAGCUAACGCAUUAAGUCGACCGCCUGGGGAGUACGGCCGCAAGGUUAAAACUCAAAUGAAUUGACGGGGGCCCGCACAAGCGGUGGAGCAUGU